This 485-nucleotide long non-coding RNA is filed under the name Macaca mulatta (Rhesus monkey). RNAcentral's name for it is "lncRNA (ENSMMUG00000064043.1)". The record is from RNAcentral. Lineage: Eukaryota; Metazoa; Chordata; Mammalia; Primates; Cercopithecidae.
AUUAUGUUCAGAGAUGCUCAAUCUACUUUGUAUACAAGUAGCAUUAUAUAAAUAAUUCCAUGGAUAUUAUAAUAUGUAAUAUCUCAAACCACAGUUUACAUUUGCCUAAUCAACUCAUUAACUUAUCAGCUCCAAACACAUUUAACACUGAGCAGCAAUUGUCCAUGGCAGGCUAUUGCUUGCUAUUCUCAGCUGCCAGACGAAGGAAUGCUAAAAAGAGCCUUUGUAGAUUGGGAAACCUAUGCUUUAAAAGAAAUGACGCUGCCUACAAGGAACACAGAGCAGGCGUUUUUAGAACAAGAGUUCCAGAUUCCUGUGACUCAGGGAUGACUAUGAUAUUGGGAAUCUCAAGUGCUGGGAAAUUCAAACUCAGUAUGAGGAGAGAGGACAACCUCAGCUCAAUAGUAAAGAUACAAUUGGCCCAGCCACAAAAGUCGACAGAACCUGAAAUGCCAGUUGAUAUCCACGUCUCAACUUUAUUCUGA